Beta vulgaris subsp. vulgaris (sugar beet) is the source of this 1459-nucleotide RNA transcript. It is a transcript of the gene named DNA (cytosine-5)-methyltransferase CMT3-like, with no coding region annotated. The record is from RefSeq and is a predicted model, not a curated record. The transcript is spliced from 2 exons. NCBI's taxonomy places the organism in Eukaryota, Viridiplantae, Streptophyta, Magnoliopsida, Caryophyllales, Amaranthaceae.
CGGUUAAGGAAACAAACCCAAACCCCUCAAAAACCUUUCUCUCACCCGUAAAAUCCAAAACCCCAUUUCUCUCUCUCUCCCCUCCUCGUAAAAACCCCAACCCCGGUGAAACCCCGACCCCUCUCUGUCAUCUGUUCGCCUGCCUUCUCGUCAGCCUCCCAUGCUCGUCGGAACCCCAUCGUUCCCUCACCGCUGAUGCGCGGUGUUGCCUUGCCGCAGUUAUUGUCAGAAUUGUUGUUGCUGAUGUCGUGGUUCUCUUCUCUCUCCUCUAUUAUGUUGAUGUGUUGUGUUGUGCUGCCACCUUGCUCGCCAGUGACUCAGCACCUCUUCUCUCUCUCUCUCUAUCGCGCGCUAUGGUUGAGGCGGCGCUGCUUGUUAUCGCGCUGCGUUCUCCCCCCCCCCCGCCGGUUCUUGCUUGUUGUUGAUGUCGCGGUAGUUGCUAUUGUUGUGUUGUUGAUGCUGCUCGUGUCUUCCCCCACCCGUUGUGAUGUUGCUGCUUUGUAGUGCUGCUAGCUGUGAUGGUGGCGUGUGUUGGUUGUUUGAUAAAGGUGUUAAGAAUCACGAGUAUUAUUGGAUGAGCUCCAAGAAUGAUGAUUAUGUUAUGAAUGAUAAUGGAAAGUGAUCUAAAGGGGAAAGUAGUCUUAUCUGAGUCGACGGAUGAGGUGACAUGAACAGUAACCCCCAUGGACUUUGAACCUUAGGGGGGGGUCCCUACAGGGAAACAUGCCCAUUGCUCUGUGGGGGGAUAAUCGGACAAUAUAUCAGGUAAUGUGAAACAUGUGGAUGGCUAAUGGAAUCAGCGGAAAUAAAUGUACUCCGGACUAGUCGCGGUUAUUGGCCAAAAGUAAAGCGAGUGGUUGGGUGACGACCCCCACUGUCGGAGUGUAAGCUUUGUCUCAUCCGCCGCGUUCUCUUUCCCCCUGGUUAAGAAGAAUGUUAUCUCAAAUUAUGAAAGUUAGAUCGAUAUUGGAUUCCCGAUAAGGAAUCAUAUCGUGGUAAGUGGUUUCGAUAUUGGAUUCCCAAUAAGGAAUCAUAUCAGGUAAAUAAUAAAUGUUUAUUCAAUAUUUCAAUAUGAAUAUCAAUAUUGGUUUCCUGAUAAGGAGGCAUAUCAUAGUAUGUUACAUUGAUGUUUGAUUCCUCAUAAGGAAUCGUAUCUUCUUAUUAGAUUCCUAAUAAGGAAUCGUAUUUUGUCAUUGGAUUCCUGAUAAGGAAUCGUGUCAUGGAGUGUUGUCCUGUUACUUAAUUCCUGAUAAGGAAUUGGUAGUAAAGUUAUAAGAAAAUGAUCAAUAUAGUAUUUGAAAAUAUAAGUUGGAUUUCUGAUAAGAAAUCGAUUUAAGGAAAUAAGUGAUAUAACCUAUAUCGGUGAUGGUUAACUUAGAUUCCUCAUAAGGAAUUGUAAUAUGCUGAAAGCUAAUUAAGUGCAGAUAUAUGAAACAUGCUUCUGCUUUUAUUGUUGUUA